ACCUUCUUGCUUCCUCAUCCAACUCUCUGGCUGACCAUUGUUUCCACCCAUUGCCUGUGAGUCUGCAGUGUCCACUCUGGAAGGAGUAUAUUUCCUCUCUCCAUGCACCCUGGACUUGGCUAUGUGGCUUGAUACAUUUGAAGGAAUGUGAGCAGCAGUGACUUGUGCAAUGCCGGCCGUCACAUUGAAGAAGGGUCAUAUUAUGGAGGAAACUGAUAUCUUCAUAAUUACCUGAAACUCAUAUCUUCGUGAUUACCUCCAAACUCACUGCAUGAUGAAAACAUGGAGCAGAAGCCAUAUGUAAUCUACUAUAAACAUGCACUAAGAGGAAGAAAUAAACCUUUGUUGUCACCGUCUACUAA
Long non-coding RNA from Chinchilla lanigera (long-tailed chinchilla), 362 nucleotides. RefSeq lists it as uncharacterized. The transcript is spliced from 4 exons. NCBI's taxonomy places the organism in Eukaryota, Metazoa, Chordata, Mammalia, Rodentia, Chinchillidae. The record is from RefSeq and is a predicted model, not a curated record.